RNAcentral lists this ribosomal RNA (870 nucleotides) under Vibrio sp. R11M6. RNAcentral describes it as "bacterial SSU rRNA". It matches the Rfam family "Bacterial small subunit ribosomal RNA", at positions 79 to 945 of the family's 1533-position model. RNAcentral also lists the same sequence under 1 other name. Lineage: Bacteria; Pseudomonadati; Pseudomonadota; Gammaproteobacteria; Vibrionales; Vibrionaceae. The record is from RNAcentral.
GACGAUACGGCGUCGAGCGGCGGACGGGUGAGUAAUGCCUAGGAAAUUGCCCUGAUGUGGGGGAUAACCAUUGGAAACGAUGGCUAAUACCGCAUAAUGCCUACGGGCCAAAGAGGGGGACCUUCGGGCCUCUCGCGUCAGGAUAUGCCUAGGUGGGAUUAGCUAGUUGGUGAGGUAAGGGCUCACCAAGGCGACGAUCCCUAGCUGGUCUGAGAGGAUGAUCAGCCACACUGGAACUGAGACACGGUCCAGACUCCUACGGGAGGCAGCAGUGGGGAAUAUUGCACAAUGGGCGCAAGCCUGAUGCAGCCAUGCCGCGUGUGUGAAGAAGGCCUUCGGGUUGUAAAGCACUUUCAGUCGUGAGGAAGGUAGUGUAGUUAAUAGCUGCAUUAUUUGACGUUAGCGACAGAAGAAGCACCGGCUAACUCCGUGCCAGCAGCCGCGGUAAUACGGAGGGUGCGAGCGUUAAUCGGAAUUACUGGGCGUAAAGCGCAUGCAGGUGGUUUGUUAAGUCAGAUGUGAAAGCCCGGGGCUCAACCUCGGAAUUGCAUUUGAAACUGGCAGACUAGAGUACUGUAGAGGGGGGUAGAAUUUCAGGUGUAGCGGUGAAAUGCGUAGAGAUCUGAAGGAAUACCGGUGGCGAAGGCGGCCCCCUGGACAGAUACUGACACUCAGAUGCGAAAGCGUGGGGAGCAAACAGGAUUAGAUACCCUGGUAGUCCACGCCGUAAACGAUGUCUACUUGGAGGUUGUGGCCUUGAGCCGUGGCUUUCGGAGCUAACGCGUUAAGUAGACCGCCUGGGGAGUACGGUCGCAAGAUUAAAACUCAAAUGAAUUGACGGGGGCCCGCACAAGCGGUGGAGCAUGUGGU